This 22-nucleotide microRNA is filed under the name Bombyx mori (domestic silkworm). RNAcentral describes it as "bmo-miR-2856-3p". The record is from miRBase by way of RNAcentral. Lineage: Eukaryota; Metazoa; Arthropoda; Insecta; Lepidoptera; Bombycidae.
ACAUUCGAGAACCGUAAGACAA